RNAcentral lists this ribosomal RNA (124 nucleotides) under Escherichia coli. Its description in RNAcentral is "partial 23S ribosomal RNA". The stretch from base 1 to 106 matches the Rfam family "Bacterial large subunit ribosomal RNA", at positions 2820 to 2925 of the family's 2925-position model. The record is from RNAcentral. Lineage: Bacteria; Pseudomonadati; Pseudomonadota; Gammaproteobacteria; Enterobacterales; Enterobacteriaceae.
GAGAGUCCUGAAGGAACGUUGAAGACGACGACGUUGAUAGGCCGGGUGUGUAAGCGCAGCGAUGCGUUGAGCUAACCGGUACUAAUGAACCGUGAGGCUUAACCUUACAACGCCGAAGGUGUUU